GGCCUCCCUCUGUGGGGUGAUUGAUGGCAGGGCCCCCCGAUGGAUCACCCCGCAGAGGGAGGCC
Molecule: microRNA precursor, 64 nt
Filed under: Myotis davidii
Lineage: Eukaryota; Metazoa; Chordata; Mammalia; Chiroptera; Vespertilionidae
Description: mir-9242 microRNA precursor family
Rfam family: mir-9242 microRNA precursor family
Source: Rfam by way of RNAcentral